UAGGUUAACGCCACGACUUUGUACAUAACUGAUGACGGGAACAUGGCUAUAUUUCCCAAGGCUGAAGGGCAUUUUUCCUCAAUCAACCUUUCCCACCGAGGACACUACGAAGUUCAUGGGGACCCGCUCCAGUCGGGGGGUGGACAAACCGGUGGUCAACAAGGGGUAGUUCCAUUUUCCUUCAUACGUAGACCUUCUUCUGCCUCUACUUGUACUUCCACUGGUGUGACCCAACAAGGAACUCCGCGAUCAACGCGCAUCAUAGCUCCCACUAAAGAUUUCCAAAGAGCCGUUCAUGUCGCUGACAUUGUGAAUGGUAAGAUCACCUCAUCAAGGACAGUGGUGAUUCGGUUCUCUGAAGCUGAGGCCACAGUGGACAACAUUACUGCUAAAGUGCAAGAUGCAUUGGGCAGCGAGGAUUCUGUCACACUCACUGACAGCCAAGGCAAUGAAAUCAUUGACUCCGAGGCCACAAGAAGUUCACAAUACUGGAAGCAGAACUCAAGGAAAGUUUAUGCAGUUAACAAUGUAGAUUUCCUCGAGUGGAAAAGUGGAAGGAAAACCAAAGCAAGCAGUUAUAACAAAGAAACAAUUGUCAUUGCAGACGCUCUGAAGAAUCACUAAGCCUCAAUGGAGUGAUGGAAAAAAUAGAUGAGCUCAAACAUGCAGCCGAGAGUCUGCCAGACAUAACUGAGGCCAUACGUACUCUCUCUAACUUGGCUAAGACAUCACAUGAAGUUACCCUCUCCCUUGCCAGAGAUUCGCUGAACUGCCUUGUGUGCAAAGGAUUAGUAGCAGAUCCCAUGGUGUCCACCUGCUGCUGUUCCAUUGUCGGCUGCAAGAAAUGUGUGACCCAGUGGCUACUGACAUCAAGUUAUUGUCUGAAGUGUAGGAGGGAGGGCUUCCAAGAAAAUGUGCAUGAGCUUAAAGGUCUCAGUGAUGUUUUGCGCCUUUUCAACAAUUAAAAUGUAACUAGGUUUACUGAAAGACGUUCAGUGGCUGUAUUGUUGUAUCAGGUUAUGUUAAAACAGUUUACACUAGCUAUAACUGAUAGCAUUCAAAUGUUUUUAUAUAAAAAAACUGCAAAAGUGGUUCAGUAAUUUUCAAGAGGGCUCUUUGA
Acanthochromis polyacanthus (spiny chromis) is the source of this 1120-nucleotide long non-coding RNA. RefSeq lists it as uncharacterized. Lineage: Eukaryota; Metazoa; Chordata; Actinopteri; Pomacentridae. The record is from RefSeq and is a predicted model, not a curated record. The transcript has 5 exons.